This is a long non-coding RNA of Chelonia mydas (Green sea turtle), 245 nucleotides long. RefSeq lists it as uncharacterized. NCBI's taxonomy places the organism in Eukaryota, Metazoa, Chordata, Testudines, Cheloniidae. The transcript has 3 exons. The record is from RefSeq and is a predicted model, not a curated record.
GGGCAGGUUGGCAGAGGCCCUGGGGGUUUUUCGCCUUCCUCUGCAGCGUGGGGCACGGGUCACUUGCAGGUUUAAACUAGAGAAAAUGGUGGCUUCUCUGUAAUUUGAAGUCUUUAAGUCAUAAUUUGAUGACUUCACUAACUCAGCCAGAGCUUAGUGGUCUAUUGCAGGAGGGGGUGGGUGAGGUUCUGUGGCCUGUGAUGUGCAGGAAGUUAGACUAGAUGAUCACAAUGGUCCCUUCUGGC